Non-coding RNA from Cinara cedri, 537 nucleotides. The record is from the annotation of a GenBank genome assembly. NCBI's taxonomy places the organism in Eukaryota, Metazoa, Arthropoda, Insecta, Hemiptera, Aphididae.
UCUAAAACUACAUAAAAUAAUUUAAAAGUUAUUUACAAAAUAUUAAUUGGGCAGUGCCAGGGAACUAUGCAAUUUUACACCCGAGAAUACAAAUACUAUACGCUCUACGAGGUAUUCUCACUAACCCCUUAAGACCCUAAUAUUAAUAAAAUGAAAUAUGUACAUGCUUACCUAGUCCUUAUUAAGACACUGACAAAUUAAAUUAAUUAAAUUAAAAAAUUAUCCAUCAGUAAAAUAUGUUUACUAAACAUAGACGUCUCAUGACAAAUUAACGCCCGGGGAUAAAUCCCCCACCUUCCUAGUUUUGGCAACGAUUAAUUCAAGGAUACAAAACAUACAUACCCAAAAAUUAUGAAUUUAUUUUAACAGUAAUACUCAAUGUUGGACAGGGGCUCUCCUAGGAGUUAGCAUGUUUCUAUAACUGUCGAAGAUGUAGCAAAGUAAUGAACAAAUGUUUCAUGGUAAUACAAACUUAUAUUUAAAAUUUAUUGUAGUAUGUUUGACAUUUUUUCAUUUAUUAGUGAACGUUUUGAUAAU